RNAcentral lists this ribosomal RNA (380 nucleotides) under uncultured cyanobacterium. Its description in RNAcentral is "bacterial SSU rRNA". It matches the Rfam family "Bacterial small subunit ribosomal RNA", at positions 376 to 770 of the family's 1533-position model. Lineage: Bacteria; Bacillati; Cyanobacteriota. The record is from RNAcentral.
CGAAAGCCUGACGGAGCAAGACCGCGUGGGGGAGGAAGGCUCUAGGGUUGUAAACCCCUUUUCUUUGGGAAGAACAAAAUGACGGUACCAAAGGAAUCAGCCUCGGCUAACUCCGUGCCAGCAGCCGCGGUAAUACGGAGGAGGCAAGCGUUAUCCGGAAUGAUUGGGCGUAAAGCGUCCGCAGGUGGCAAUGUAAGUCUGCUGUCAAAACCCAGGGCUCAACUCUGGUCAGGCAGUGGAAACUACAUAGCUAGAGUUCGGUAGGGGCAGAGGGAAUUCCCGGUGUAGCGGUGAAAUGCGUAGAUAUUGGGAAGAACACCAGUGGCGAAGGCGCUCUGCUGGACCGAAACUGACACUCAGGGACGAAAGCUAGGGGAGCG